This 314-nucleotide ribosomal RNA is filed under the name Streptococcus equinus. RNAcentral's name for it is "bacterial SSU rRNA". It matches the Rfam family "Bacterial small subunit ribosomal RNA", at positions 24 to 328 of the family's 1533-position model. Lineage: Bacteria; Bacillati; Bacillota; Bacilli; Lactobacillales; Streptococcaceae. The record is from RNAcentral.
UCAGGACGAACGCUGGCGGCGUGCCUAAUACAUGCAAGUAGAACGCUGAAGACUUUAGCUUGCUAAAGUUGGAAGAGUUGCGAACGGGUGAGUAACGCGUAGGUAACCUGCCUACUAGCGGGGGAUAACUAUUGGAAACGAUAGCUAAUACCGCAUAACAGCAUUUAACCCAUGUUAGAUGCUUGAAAGGAGCAAUUGCUUCACUAGUAGAUGGACCUGCGUUGUAUUAGCUAGUUGGUGAGGUAACGGCUCACCAAGGCGACGAUACAUAGCCGACCUGAGAGGGUGAUCGGCCACACUGGGACUGAGACACG